RNAcentral lists this unclassified non-coding RNA (413 nucleotides) under soil metagenome. Its description in RNAcentral is "partial contains 5.8S ribosomal RNA, internal transcribed spacer 2, and large subunit ribosomal RNA". The stretch from base 1 to 120 matches the Rfam family "5.8S ribosomal RNA", at positions 35 to 154 of the family's 154-position model. The record is from RNAcentral.
GAUGAAGAACGCAGCGAAAUGCGAUAAGUAAUGUGAAUUGCAGAAUUCAGUGAAUCAUCGAAUCUUUGAACGCACCUUGCGCUCUUUGGUAUUCCGAAGAGCAUGCCUGUUUGAGUGUCAUGAAGAUAUCAACCUUGACUUGGGUUUUGUGCUCUAGUCUCGGCUUGGAAUUGGGUGCUUGCCGCUUUUACGAGCGGCUCACCUUAAAUGUAUUAGCUGGAUCUGUCUUUGAGACUUGGUUUGACUUGGCGUAAUAAGUAUUUCGCUAAGGACAUUCUUCGGAGUGGCCUCGUUUCUAGGACGCUUGUCCGCUUUCCAAUACAAGUUCCACCUCGUGGACAUGACUUUUUAUUAUCUGGCCUCAAAUCAGGUAGGACUACCCGCUGAACUUAAGCAUAUCAAUAAGCGGAGGA